This 4523-nucleotide long non-coding RNA is filed under the name Sus scrofa (pig). Its description in RNAcentral is "lncRNA (ENSSSCG00000045895.2)". The record is from RNAcentral. Lineage: Eukaryota; Metazoa; Chordata; Mammalia; Artiodactyla; Suidae.
GGCCGUUCCCUCAGCAUAUGGAGGUUCCCAGGCUAGGGGUCUAAUCGGAGCUGUAGCUGCCAGCCUACACCAGCGCCACAGCAACAUGGGAUCCGAGCCGUGUCUGUGACCUACACCACAGCUCAUGGCAAUGCCAGAUCCUUAACCCACUGAGCAAGACCGGGGAUGGAACCUGCAACCUCAUGGUUCCUAGUCAGAUUCGUUAACCACUGCACCACGACUGGAACUCCAAUAUCCUAGAUUUUUAGGAACACUUUCAAGGAAUUGCUGAGGUUCAGAAUAAGACUGUACAACGCGUAAGAGUGUUUUCUAUAAUGGAUUUCCAAAUAGUUAAAUUAAGAAUCAUUUACUCUCAAUUUCUCCAGCUUCACUUGUCUUCCGGCAAAAAUUAAAGCUGUGCAACCUGUACAUAACAGCAGUUUCUAACAAUGCCAAAUCAACAGCAAUUUCUAGAUCAUUUUCAUUCCCUUCUCCAUGAAAAUGCCCAACAAACUGUUAGGUUACUAAAGAAAACUGAUCAGGUAAUAUUACUCUUUGCUUUCACGUAAUCAUUCUAAGUACAUCUAAAAUCAGACAUUGACAUGAAAAUAUGAGGGGAAGAAAAACUUCAAGCCAGAGAAUUGAGUUUUACUUUUACUGACAUUUAUAUAUCACACUUCCUGUUUAUGAUUUCAGAAGUGCAGCCAUGCAGUGCUUCUGUUAAAACUAAGUAAUUGGGAACAGUUUUGAGGAUUACAUGGCAGCUUACUCAAAGGGAAAAAAAAAAUUGAGCUGCUUAUGGAAUUGCUAUCUUUGUUGUGUACAAAGUUGAAUCUUUGUCAAAUGUCAUUUACUAAUAGUGUAAUUAAAAGGGAACUUGAUGGCUUUGUGCCUUUAAAACAAACAGCCCGAUCAUAGUUCUAAAUUUGACCAGUUGAUGGGAUAAGAAAACCAAGCCAACCCCUUUCUACUAUAUAUAUAAAGGUAAUUCUUGCAAACAUUUUUUUUUUCCCUUCAUGUAGAGAUUUCAGUUAACUUUUGUUGUGCCUUGACAAUUCUGCCCAAAGGAGGGAAAGGGUAGACAUAAAUACAGUUCUUAAAAGGCCUUUUCUUCCACUAUUGUUCUUAUUUGAAGCACAAUUAUGAGUUAAUUUUUGGUGACCAGAAUUUGUGUGUGUUUGUAUGUGCACAUGCAUGUAUAUGUAGAGAGAGAGAGAGAGAGAGCACCCAAGUGAGCAGUGGCUGCUAGCCAGACAUCAAAAUCCAUAUUCUUAUUUAUUUCUUUUUUGCUUUUUAGGGCUGCACCUGCAGCAUACGGAAGUUCCCAGGCUAGGGGUCUAAUCCGAGCUGCAGCUGCCAACCUGUGCCACAGCCACAGCAACACCAACACCGAGUCGAGCCACGUUUGUGACCCACACUGCAGCUCAUGGCAACACCAGAUCCUUAACCCACUGAGUGGGGCCAGGGACCAAUCCCACAUCCACAUGGAUACUAGUCAGGUUGGUUUCCACUGAGUACAAUGGGAACUCCCCAUGUUCUUAUUUCUUCUUGGCCAAACAGAUAAGCUUAUUCCCAGCCUCCUUUGUAGUUAGCUGUGGUCAUGUGACUAAAUUACAGCCAAUGGAAUGAGAAUAGAAGUUACAUGUACUACUUUGAGUUCUCUCCCCUAAAAACUCCGCUUCCUACAGACUGAAAUAGAAAAGACCCCCAGGGAGACCUUGGAACUUUGGUACUGAAAGCCUAGGUACAGAAAGACCUUGAAAACUAAGCAUUGAAAUGCCUGUUUAUUUUAGCAAGAAACAGACUUGAGCUGUUAUACAUUUUGGGGUUGAUCUGUUAUGGCAAUUAGUCUCCCCUAAUUAACUCAAUAUACAAAACUUGUAUUCAAAGAGGCUGUAUGAUGUACAACUCCCAUGGGCAUCAUUUACAUUGGAAUAUAUGUGAAUGGCAUUUCCUGAAGCACAAUUAAGAAGCCUCAGUUAUGCAUGCACAUGGAGAUAUAUUAAUGUUCCCCCCAGGAGUGGUACGGUAUUGUAGCUCUGCCAAACCAACACCAACUUCUCUCUUGCAUUUUAUUGCACAAGAGCAUCAAUUUGUGUAAAGUCACUUCCCUUUUGUGUCUGUGGUAAUAGAUUAAGGUGGAAUGGAUCAUCCAACAAUAUCUUAAGAGAAAAUGUAUACUUAGGAUCCAAACCAGAUCUCUUAGAUUUAUUCAACUGUAUUAGCUUAUAAUUUGUUACCCUCUGCCAUGCAUUAGGCCAACAGACAAUGUCAGGAGUCUCCUUCCCCUCUGCCCUCCAAGCUUGCUGCUGUGAAUGAUAAAAACUUUGGCCUUCAUUUUCCUUAUCUCUAAAAUGAGAGCUAGAUUAUAUGACCCCAAAGAGCCCUUCACUAAAAUUCUACUAUCUGUGACUACAAUGUCCAUAGCUAUUGGUAGAACUAAUUAUUACUGUGACUCUUCCUUCAGAUUCCAAAUUGAUACUCUACAGGUGCUUAAAAGUAAGUUAAAGUUAUAAAGAAAAUGUUCAACUUGCACCAAUUCACAGAGAGGCACAACAGAGAUUUUGCUUUUCUCUUAAAUAAAAACUAUUAAAUUGAAAAGAUUUUUUUAACUCAUUCAAGAUAUUUUUAGAGUAAUUAUAAAUCAGUGUGUCACCUCUUUGAAUUUUUUACUCAAUGGAUGAAGUAGCAAAGCCAAUGCAGAAUGUGACAUUUAUUGAAAUAAUAUGCCAUAUUACAAAACGUAAACUAAAUAGCAGAUUGUGUAUUUACUGUUACUGAAGUUAGCAGUUAAAACCUUAAGUUUUACUUCUCCUAAUUGUACACUUAUGUUCUAAUGUUUCAAUGAAAUAACAAUAUUAGAACAAGUUCAAGAUCAUGGCAGAAUCACCAAUCAUAGUUACUUUUGUCAUAGUUAACUAAAUCAUCUGUAUCUUUGUAUAUUAUGACAGAACUAAAUCACAUUUUUGUUAUAGCGGACAGAAAUGAAUCUUUACCUAUUUGUCUGCUGGUAGGCAUUUAAUCUCAUGGAUUUCAGAUUCGGUUAAAGCUAAAAAUGUACAUUAUCCAGACUUGAUAAAGGCAUGGAAUUGGCUUUGAUUCGCAUUCUUCAGGAGAGCUGCAAAAAAUAUGGACCUUACUCAGGGGUGACACUUUUUUAGAAAAGAGGAAGAGCAGGCUGUAUAUAUCAUUGUCCAAAGUGGAGUCUUUAUAUUAAGAGAAAGCCAUGUAUGGGCUGGAGUAGAUAAGAAGAAGGAAUCCCAGUAAAUUUUUUCCCCCCACAAAAGGAACGAGGCAGAGAGAGAGAGCCUGCAGUAGUAUUUUGAAUACCAGUAGACAAGCAUAGAUUCUAAAUAUCCUUAGAUAAUUGCAUAAACAGGGAAAUAAUUUUUAAAAUGAAGGUACAGUUACAAAUUUAUUGUGGUAUAUCCAUAUGUUGGAAUGCCAUGCAGAUAUUAAAAAUGUUUUCAAAAAUAUUCAGUAACAUGAGAAAAUGGUCAUUAUAAACUGCAGAUCCUUUAUUUCUGUCCAAAAUGAAUCAAUCUUAUUCUUUCUGACCUCUGUAUUUUUCCUCAUUGCUAUGUCCUCCCCACCCCCAGUAUAAAUAGCAGCAUAAUGGAAAUAAUAUUUUAAGGAGAGAUGCAUAUACACUGAAUUUUUAAGCUUGAAGGCAUUUUAGAGAUCAUUUAGUCAAAAUUCAUCAUUUUGCAAAGGAAACUGACCCUGGAAAAUUAAAUGUCUCCCUUAAGGCCUUGAUCCCAGCAUUGCUAACUUGCUAAAACCUGGGUUUCCUUGCUCUCCAAAUUUGGCACAUUUUACCUUCAGUUAUAACUGGCUACAUCAGAGGUUGGUUCAUACCAGACUAGAGACUGAAGGUUGGGCUAAAGAGAAUGAACUUUAUCCUAGUCUGUCUUUUUUUGGGGGAGAGGGUGGGUACAAGGCACAAGGGAAUGAUAAUGAUCAGAGUUGUAAAAUAUCUCUAGAGAUCGUCUGUUUCUUAAUCCUAAAUCUUUUAACUUUUUUCUUACUCAGUACCACUUUAAAAAUUCUUGGGGGAGAACUCAAAUCACUUCUUUGACUCAUAUAAAUAAUACUGAGAAAUGGAAGUAACUGGAUUACAACUUCUAACCAUUUUACUUAUUUGUUCACUUGCUUUUGUCUUUCUUUUCCACUAGAAUGUAUUUUCCAGGAGAGAUGGCCUAUAUCUUUUUGUUAACUCCAGCUCCUGCCAAGUGUUUGACACAUAAAAGAUGUUCAGUGAAUGUUGGUGAGUGAAUUAAUAAAUGAUAGCUACUGAAAAGCAAUAAUUAAUUUACUUUGAUUCAGUUUCUCCUGGAGGUUUUCCCAAGUUUUGUGAUCCCAUUACCAUUCUAAAUUUUAGAAUGGGGUGAACCUGCCCUAUUCUGCAUAUGCUAUACAUUUCAGGGUAGCACAACCGAACUGUUUUAUAAUAUUAAUUUUGGCACUCUUAGACUCUUGUGCCAAAUUUGCUAAAUUUGGGAAUGACCUUGAUCUGUAAUUAGAUUUUUAUCCACAGGUGAAUU